This 29-nucleotide small RNA is filed under the name Bombyx mori (domestic silkworm). RNAcentral's name for it is "ovarian small RNA-18519". Lineage: Eukaryota; Metazoa; Arthropoda; Insecta; Lepidoptera; Bombycidae. The record is from RNAcentral.
UAACAAACACUAUUAAAACUCAAGACUGC